GAGCUGGGUGACUCGAAGCCUGGGUCUUGCACGGCGAUUCGAGUCUCUAAAUCUAGUUCCCUCAGAUUCUCCUAGUUGCUGACUCUAAGAAAGAGGAACUAGGAAACACGAACCAGUGGCCGUGGCAGGGCAGGCCUGGAGCUGUUUGGGCAAUAAAGGUCAUCUCUGUGGAGACAGACGGAAAAGGUAUACAUAUGGGAAGCCAGUGAAAGGAGAUAUAAUGCUUACAUUUUUACCUCUGUCGUUUUGGGGAGAGAAGAAAAAUAUUACAAAAAAAUUUAAGGUGUCUCAAGAAAUGCAAAUGCCAAUGUGUUUUUCAAGCAGCAUGAUUAUAUCAUUGAAUUUUUUGAUUAUUCUAUUGUUUUGAAGCCAUCUCUCAACUUCACAGCCACUGUAAGUUGGUAUAUUUAUUACAAGGCUGUAGUAAUAAGUUCAAUUCAAUGAAAGGGAAAUAAUAUUUUACAUGUUUAUUUAAAAAUUUAACCCAAAAAGUAGAUAAUUAUUUUUCCUCUUUAGAUGUGUGAGACACAUAGAAUUGUUUACAAAUGGCCUUUGUCUAAUAUUAUUUUUUUAAAGUAGGUCCUAACAACAACAAAAAUAUUUUCCUGAAAAUUUAUUUAAUAAGUAAUGUGGAUUUAUUCAUUGAGGAUUUUAUUAAUGGGCAAUCAUAAACUUACUUUAAACUUGAUUUUAGAAUGAGUAAUUUUAGCUGUAGCAAAGAUAUAGUAUUCAAAAUUAUCAAACAAAUAUACUCUUUUUUGUUCAGAGACUGUUGAAGUAAUAUUACCUGAGUAAAUUUUGAUGGUAUACAAGACAUGGUGCUAGGCUGGGCUUGAAAAGCUAAGAAAGACCCAGUCCCUAGCCUGAAGUUCACAGUUUUUGUGAUGGUGCCAAGAAACUAAGCAUAGAAGUACAGUUCCAGGCAAUGUAAUAUUAGGAUCAUGAAUUAAUUUCUAUAGGGAUUUAAAGCAGGGACUGGUAUACUUUUUCUACAUAGCAUUGGACACUAAAUAUUUUCUGCUUUGUAAGCCAUAUGGUCUCUUGUCACAGCUACUCAACUCUGCCAUUUUAUAAACAAAAGAGAGUGGCUAUGUUCCAACUAAACGUUACUUAUAGAAAUAAUGGAUUGGCAUGCCUGCUUGCUAGUCAAUCCUUGAUUUAAAGAAAGUAAGGGGGUCUCUUCUUCUUGAAUAUAUGAAGAAAAGUUUUAGGUAGUUCCUGAUUUUAAUGACCUUGGUAACAUAGAUAGUUUGAAAGGCAAGUAAAAAACUGUGAAGCUGCAAAUGAUCAUUUCCAAAUGAGUAGAGUGGAACAAUGGGAGUUCAC
This 1326-nucleotide long non-coding RNA is filed under the name Castor canadensis (American beaver). RNAcentral's name for it is "lncRNA (ENSCCNG00000006579.1)". The record is from RNAcentral. Lineage: Eukaryota; Metazoa; Chordata; Mammalia; Rodentia; Castoridae.